GAGUGGCGAACUGGUGAGUAACACGUGGGAAACCUGCCCAGAAGCGGGGGAUAACACCUGGAAACAGAUGCUAAUACCGCAUAACAACUUGGACCGCAUGGUCCGAGCUUGAAAGAUGGCUUCGGCUAUCACUUUUGGAUGGUCCCGCGGCGUAUUAGCUAGAUGGUGGGGUAACGGCUCACCAUGGCAAUGAUACGUAGCCGACCUGAGAGGGUAAUCGGCCACAUUGGGACUGAGACACGGCCCAAACUCCUACGGGAGGCAGCAGUAGGGAAUCUUCCACAAUGGACGAAAGUCUGAUGGAGCAACGCCGCGUGAGUGAAGAAGGGUUUCGGCUCGUAAAACUCUGUUGUUAAAGAAGAACAUAUCUGAGAGUAACUGUUCAGGUAUUGACGGUAUUUAACCAGAAAGCCACGGCUAACUACGUGCCAGCAGCCGCGGUAAUACGUAGGUGGCAAGCGUUGUCCGGAUUUAUUGGGCGUAAAGCGAGCGCAGGCGGUUUUUUAAGUCUGAUGUGAAAGCCUUCGGCUCAACCGAAGAAGUGCAUCGGAAACUGGGAAACUUGAGUGCAGAAGAGGACAGUGGAACUCCAUGUGUAGCGGUGAAAUGCGUAGAUAUAUGGAAGAACACCAGUGGCGAAGGCGGCUGUCUGGUCUGUAACUGACGCUGAGGCUCGAAAGUAUGGGUAGCAAACAGGAUUAGAUACCCUGGUAGUCCAUACCGUAAACGAUGAAUGCUAAGUGUUGGAGGGUUUCCGCCCUUCAGUGCUGCAGCUAACGCAUUAAGCAUUCCGCCUGGGGAGUACGGCCGCAAGGCUGAAACUCAAAGGAAUUGACGGGGGCCCGCACAAGCGGUGGAGCAUGUGGUUUAAUUCGAAGCUACGCGAAGAACCUUACCAGGUCUUGACAUACUAUGCAAAUCUAAGAGAUUAGACGUUCCCUUCGGGGACAUGGAUACAGGUGGUGCAUGGUUGUCGUCAGCUCGUGUCGUGAGAUGUUGGGUUAAGUCCCGCAACGAGCGCAACCCUUAUUAUCAGUUGCCAGCAUUAAGUUGGGCACUCUGGUGAGACUGCCGGUGACAAACCGGAGGAAGGUGGGGAUGACGUCAAAUCAUCAUGCCCCUUAUGACCUGGGCUACACACGUGCUACAAUGGAUGGUACAACGAGUUGCGAACUCGCGAGAGUAAGCUAAUCUCUUAAAGCCAUUCUCAGUUCGGAUUGUAGGCUGCAACUCGCCUACAUGAAGUCGGAAUCGCUAGUAAUCGCGGAUCAGCAUGCCGCGGUGAAUACGUUCCCGGGCCUUGUACACACCGCCCGUCACACCAUGAGAGUUUGUAACACCCAAAGUCG
Molecule: ribosomal RNA, 1349 nt
Filed under: Lactiplantibacillus plantarum
Lineage: Bacteria; Bacillati; Bacillota; Bacilli; Lactobacillales; Lactobacillaceae
Description: Lactobacillus plantarum 16S ribosomal RNA
Rfam family: Bacterial small subunit ribosomal RNA
Source: RNAcentral